This 439-nucleotide ribosomal RNA is filed under the name uncultured bacterium. RNAcentral describes it as "partial 16S ribosomal RNA". It matches the Rfam family "Bacterial small subunit ribosomal RNA", at positions 339 to 795 of the family's 1533-position model. The record is from RNAcentral.
CUACGGGUCGCACCAGUGAGGAAUAUUGCACAAUGGGGGGAACCCUGAUGCAGCAACGCCGCGUGGAGGAUGACGCAUUUCGGUGUGUAAACUCCUUUUAUAUGUCAAGAAAAUGACGGUAGCAUAUGAAUAAGCACCGGCUAACUCCGUGCCAGCAGCCGCGGUAAUACGGAGGGUGCAAGCGUUACUCGGAAUCACUGGGCGUAAAGGACGCGUAGGCGGGUUGGAAAGUCAGGUGUGAAAUCCUACAGCUUAACUGUAGAACUGCACUUGAAACUUCUAAUCUAGAGUAUGGGAGGGGGAGAUGGAAUUAGUGGUGUAGGGGUAAUAUCCGUAGAUAUCACUAGGAAUACCUAAAGCGAAGGCGAUCUCCUGGAACGUUACUGACGCUAAGGCGUGAAAGCGUGGGGAGCAAACAGGAUUAGAUACCCGGGUAGUC